This 73-nucleotide transfer RNA is filed under the name Trichonephila inaurata madagascariensis. It matches the Rfam family "tRNA". Rfam says of the family: Transfer RNA (tRNA) molecules are approximately 80 nucleotides in length. Their secondary structure includes four short double-helical elements and three loops (D, anti-codon, and T loops). Further hydrogen bonds mediate the characteristic L-shaped molecular structure. tRNAs have two regions of fundamental functional importance: the anti-codon, which is responsible for specific mRNA codon recognition, and the 3' end, to which the tRNAs corresponding amino acid is attached (by aminoacyl-tRNA synthetases). tRNAs cope with the degeneracy of the genetic code in two manners: having more than one tRNA (with a specific anti-codon) for a particular amino acid; and 'wobble' base-pairing, i.e. permitting non-standard base-pairing at the 3rd anti-codon position. Lineage: Eukaryota; Metazoa; Arthropoda; Arachnida; Araneae; Nephilidae. The record is from Rfam by way of RNAcentral.
GUCCCUGUAGCGCAAUGGAUUGCACGUUGGACUUUUAAUCCAAAGGUAAUGGGUUCGAAUCCUAUCUGGGAUG